ACAACAGGGAUUGCCCAGUAACGGCGAGUGAAGCGGCAACAGCUCAAAUUUGAAAUCUGGCCCUUGGGUCCGAAUUGUAAUUUGCAGAGGAUGCUUUUGGCGCGGCGCCUUCCGAGUUUCCUGGAACGGAACGCCAUAGAGGGUGAGAGCCCCGUCCGGUUGGACGCCUAGCCUAUGUAAAGCUCCUUCGACGAGUCGAGUAGUUUGGGAAUGCUGCUCUAAAUGGGAGGUACAUGUCUUCUAAAGCUAAAUACCGGCCAGAGACCGAUAGCGCACAAGUAGAGUGAUCGAAAGAUGAAAAGCACUUUGAAAAGAGGGUUAAACAGUACGUGAAAUUGUUGAAAGGGAAGCGUUUAUGACCAGACUUGGGCCCGGUUAAUCAUCCAGCGUUCUCGCUGGUGCACUUUGCCGGCCCAGGCCAGCAUCAGUUCGUCGCGGGGGAUAAAGGCUUCGGGAACGUGGCUCCCUCGGGAGUGUUAUAGCCCGUUGCGCAAUACCCUGCGGUGGACUGAGGUUCGCGCAUCUGCAAGGAUGCUGGCGUAAUGGUCAUCAACGACCCGUCUUGAAACACGGACCAAGGAGUCGUCUUCGUAUGCGAGUGUUCGGGUGUCAAACCCCUACGCGUAAUGAAAGUGAACGCAGGUGAGAGCUUCGGCGCAUCAUCGACCGAUCCUGAUGUUCUCGGAUGGAUUUGAGUAAGAGCAUACGGGGCCGGACCCGAAAGAAGGUGAACUAUGCCUGUAUAGGGUGAAGCCAGAGGAAACUCUGGUGGAGGCUCGCAGCGGUUCUGACGUGCAAAUCGAUCGUCAAAUAUGGGCAUGGGGGCGAAAG
This 831-nucleotide ribosomal RNA is filed under the name Nothoacremonium exiguum. RNAcentral's name for it is "eukaryotic LSU rRNA". It matches the Rfam family "Eukaryotic large subunit ribosomal RNA", at positions 65 to 929 of the family's 3401-position model. The record is from RNAcentral. Lineage: Eukaryota; Fungi; Ascomycota; Sordariomycetes; Hypocreales; Nothoacremoniaceae.